GAAGUCCGCCAGGCCGUCGCUGGUGCAUGUCCCGAAAGGGCGCACUGGAGGAACGUCCGGACUGCGAAGGACAGCGUAGCAGCUAACGGCUGCCCACCGUGAGGUGAGGAUCAGAGCAACAGAGACGAGCCGAUUCAGUUCGGGUGAAACGGGCAAUCUCUACGCGCAGCAAUACCAAGUAGGCCAGCGUUGAUGUGGUUCCGCAGAGCUGGCGGGUAGGUAGCACCGAGCCGUGUGGGCGACCCACGGCCCAGAGGAAUGACGGUCACGCCGCGGGCAACCGCGGUGCACAGAAUCCGGCGUAACGGUGGGCUUCACAC
Molecule: RNase P RNA, 320 nt
Filed under: Burkholderiales bacterium
Lineage: Bacteria; Pseudomonadati; Pseudomonadota; Betaproteobacteria; Burkholderiales
Description: RNase P RNA component class A
Rfam family: Bacterial RNase P class A
About the family: Ribonuclease P (RNase P) is a ubiquitous endoribonuclease, found in archaea, bacteria and eukarya as well as chloroplasts and mitochondria. Its best characterised activity is the generation of mature 5'-ends of tRNAs by cleaving the 5'-leader elements of precursor-tRNAs. Cellular RNase Ps are ribonucleoproteins.
Source: RNAcentral